GUUUCUCUGUGUAGCCCUGACUGUCCUGGAGCUCACUCUGUAGACCAGGCUGGUCUCAAACUCACAGAGAGCCGCUUGCCUCUGCCUCCCGAGUGCUGGGACUAAAGGCGUGCGCCACCACUGCCCG
MicroRNA precursor from Microtus ochrogaster (prairie vole), 127 nucleotides. NCBI's taxonomy places the organism in Eukaryota, Metazoa, Chordata, Mammalia, Rodentia, Cricetidae. The record is from Ensembl.